Molecule: ribosomal RNA, 1762 nt
Filed under: Fusobacterium necrophorum
Lineage: Bacteria; Fusobacteriati; Fusobacteriota; Fusobacteriia; Fusobacteriales; Fusobacteriaceae
Description: partial 23S ribosomal RNA
Rfam family: Bacterial large subunit ribosomal RNA
Source: RNAcentral
AUUAAAGUAACAAAGGGCACACAAGGGAUGCCUAGGUAGAAAGAGCCGAAGAAGGACGUGGUAAGCUGCGAUAAGCUUGGCGAAGUUGCAAACGAACGUGGAUGCCAAGAUUUCCGAAUGGAGCAAUCUGUAAAGAGUCAUGUCUUUACACGAAAGAGGGAACCGGGUGAACUGAAACAUCUAAGUAAUCCGAGGAAAAGAAAGUAACAACGAUACCCUAAGUAGCGGCGAGCGAACGGGGUAGAGCCUAAACCGUAUUCAUGUCAAGGAUGCAGCCGUUGUGGAUAUGGGGUAGCGGGAAAGAGAGAGAAAGAACUGCAAGCUAUUUCGCAGACGUAAGCAAAGGAACAAGAAAGAUCUGGAAAGGUCUACCGUAGAAGGUGAAAGUCCUGUAUUGGUAGUUUUCUUGCGCUGUAUCUCUUCUCCCAAGUAAUGUGGAACACGAGGAAUUCUGCAUGAAUCUGCGAGGACCAAAUCUCGUAAGGCUAAAUACUCUUUCUAACCGAUAGCGCAUAGUACCGUGAGGGAAAGGUGAAAAGAACCCCGGGAGGGGAGUGAAAGAGAACCUGAAAUUGUGUGCUUACAAGCGGUCAGAGCCACUUCGGUGGUGAUGGCGUGCCUUUUGGAGAAUGAUCCUGCGAGUUACGUUUCAUGGCGAGGUUAAGAAGAACGGAGCCGAAGGGAAACCGAGUCUGAAUAGGGCGCAAGAGUCGUGGAGCGUAGACGCGAAACCCGGUGAUCUAAGCCUGUCCAGGAUGAAGCUGUGGUAAGACACAGUGGAGGUCCUAACCCACCGCCGUUGAAAAGUUGGGGGAUGAGGUAGGUUUAGGGGUGAAAAGCCAAUCGAACCGGGAGAUAGCUCGUUCUCUCCGAAAUGCAUCUAGGUGCAGCCUUGCGUGUUUAAUGAUGGGGGUAGAGCACUGACUGAACUAGGGGGCAUAUAGCUUACUGAAUUCAAUCAAACUCCGAAUACCAUUAUUCAAGAGCGCAGGAGUGAGACCAUGGGAGUUAACUUCCAUCGUCGAAAGGGAAACAACCCAGACCACCGGCUAAGGUCCCAAAUCAUAUCUAAGUGGGAAAGGAGGUGGAGAUUCUUAAACAACUAGGAGGUUGGCUUAGAAGCAGCCAUUCCUUGAAAGAGUGCGUAAUAGCUCACUAGUCGAGAGUCUCUGCGCCGACAAUGUAACGGGGCUAAGAUAUGAACCGAAGCUGUGGAUGUCGUAAGACAUGGUAGGAGAGCGUUCUGUAGGCCGUGGAAGGAGGACUGAAAGGAACUCUGGAGGUAUCAGAAGUGAGAAUGCAGGAAUAAGUAGCGAGAAGGGGAGUGAGAAUCUCCCCCGCUGGAAGACCAAGGUUUUCAGGGUAAAGCUUGUCUUCCCUGAGUAAGCCGGGACCUAAGCCCAGGCUAGAAUGCGUAGGCGAAUGGAAAACAGAUGAAUAUUUCUGUGCCAGUUCUACUUUGUGAAGGAGGGACGCAGAAGGGUAUGCGCGCAGACGAACGGAAGAGUCUGUAGAAGCAUGUAGAGUGACUUGGUAGGCAAAUCCGCCAGGUUAGACUUAAGGUGUGACAUAUACUCGCAAGAGGAAUGCGCAAAUCCCACGCUGCCGAGAAAAGCUUCUAGCGGUAAAGUAGAGACUGCCCGUACUGGAAACCGACACAGGUGGUCAGGAUGAGAAAUCUAAAGCGGACAGGCUAACUCUCGUUAAGGAACUCUGCAAAAUGGCCCCGUAACUUCGGGAGAAGGGGUGCCUUUAGGCGUGA